This 450-nucleotide ribosomal RNA is filed under the name uncultured bacterium. RNAcentral describes it as "partial 16S ribosomal RNA". It matches the Rfam family "Bacterial small subunit ribosomal RNA", at positions 338 to 795 of the family's 1533-position model. The record is from RNAcentral.
CCUACGGGUGGCUGCAGUGGGGAAUAUUGGACAAUGGGGGAAACCCUGAUCCAGCAAUGCCGCGUGUGUGAAGAAGGCCUGCGGGUUGUAAAGCACUUUCGGUUGGGAAGAAAAGUUUGGCGCCAAUACCGCCGAACCUUGACGUUACUGACAGAAGAAGCACCGGCUAACUCUGUGCCAGCAGCCGCGGUAAUACAGAGGGUGCAAGCGUUCAUCGGAAUCACUUGGCGUAAAGCGUACGUAGGUGGUCAAAACCCCGGGCUUAACCUGGGAACUGCAUUCGGUACUACAUGGCUAGAGUAUGGUAGAGGGAAGUGGAAUUUCCGGGGUAGGGGUGAAAUGCGUAGAUAUCGGAAGGAACACCAAUGGCGAAGGCAGCUUCCUGGACUAAGACUGACACUGAGGCACGAAAGCGUGGGUAGCAAACAGGAUUAGAUACCCCCAGUAGUC